Molecule: long non-coding RNA, 1126 nt
Organism: Antechinus flavipes (yellow-footed antechinus)
Lineage: Eukaryota; Metazoa; Chordata; Mammalia; Dasyuromorphia; Dasyuridae
Exons: 3
Source: RefSeq, a predicted model, not a curated record
CAGGUGGCUGAACUGGUAACCAGUGAGUUCUUUGAACAAGGAGACAGAGAAAGAGCUGAACUCAAACUCACCCCUUCGGCUAUUUUUGAUCGAAACCGAAAAGAUGAACUGCCUCGGUUACAAUUGGAAUGGAUUGAUAGUAUCUGCAUGCCUCUGUAUCAGGCCUUAGUAAAAGUAAAUGUGAAAUUGAAGCCCAUGUUGGAUUCUAUUGCUGUGAAUAGAAGUAAAUGGGAAGAGCUGCACCAGAAAAUGUUGCUUUCUCAGAUACCUUCUUCAUCUUCUUCUUCCAGUCUCACUGUGUCAGUAGAAGAUAUCAGUUAAGGCUACCUCCAUAGGUUGCCAUUGCAAACUGUCUCUCAAAAGUCUCUCUUUGGCUUUGCUGCAAUUUUUUUUAAAGCUGCCACAGACAAGCUUGGGGCACUGGAGUUGAUCCCAUUAACCAGGAAAUGGCUUUCACCUUUGGGUUUAGUCAUUCUGAACAGCAAGUGGAUCUGGAAUAAUACGGGAAGAUAUGAGGCACAGAGAAUGCUGUGGAUGAAAGGGUCAUCUUUCCACUGCUGCUGUAUAGAAAAUAUUCAUAUCAUAGCAUCUGGGACAGAAAAAAUUGUCUCUGACCCAAAGCAAUGAUUGGAACACAGGUGGGUUGGUCAGUGUUCACACAAGAAGCUAAGGGAGUACAGAAUUAUGAUGUUGUUUAUAUAUCACGCCCCUAUUUGUUACAAGCUAAAUAUUGCUUGUUUUUCUGUUCUUUGCUUGCUUUUGCUAUUUUCCUUUUUAUGCCAGGAUGUACCAAGGACUCUCCUUUGUAUUCUACAGAUUUUUUUUUUUUUUUUAACAAUGAAGCUUCUUUGUGAUUGUUUAUAGAAUACUUUAUCUUGGAUACUCUUUAAAAAAGAAUGUUAUCUUUAAAAGCUUCGACUUGUGCCAAUUAACCCCGGAAGAAGUCCAUAGUAAGAAUGCAGUAAAUUUGUUUGGCCAAUGUACGUUUAUAUAAAAGUAAUAACACAGAAUGGGGAUUGUGGGCCCUGCAUUCUGAGCUGCCCUAUUUAAUAUUCACAGUGGAAUGUGCCUCCUCCCAGGAGAAAAGGAUUAACGGACUUUAAUUAAAGUAUGAAUGGAAAAGAAA